UGUCAUUUUAGACACUUCUAGAUUCAGUUGUCCAAUAGACAUUUGUUAAGUGCCUUCUGUGAAUUGUGCUUAGCCCUGGAGAUCCUGGCUAUUGAGACUGUAAAUGAAAAAUAUAUUUCACGGAGAGGUCCAAAAACAUUGUGGGAACACAGUGGAGAGGAAUAAACUCUGCCUUGGGAAGUAGGGGAAAGCUGCAUAGAGCAGGUGACAUUUGAGCUGAAUCUUGAUGGAUGGGUGGAAGCCCGCUCAUUGGAGAGAGAGGAAAUAACAUGUUCAAGUGUCCAGAGCUGUGAAAAAUUCAUGGUAUGUUGUGUGAUAGAGAGAAGUUUAAUGAAAUGACUCAGUGGGAGAAAUAUGAUUGGUGAGGUGCUCUUUUUCCUGUUGUUGGUUUUUUUUUUUUUUCCCUCCUGACCUAGACUGAAAAGAAAAAAUUCCAGAGAACUAAAGCACUCUACAUCACAGAUUAGCAAAACACUGGCCCCAGUAAGCAUCCCCCAUGCCUGUCUUGGGUACUGGAAAGAACCAUAUAUGCUGUACCAAGGAACUUCCACUUACAGGCAAAGGAGAUGGGAAACGUUAAGCAGGUGAAUUAAAUGAUCCUCUCUCUUUAACAAGGCAGUGGCUGGGCGGGGACGGGCUGUAUGGAUUUGAGGGAAAUGGAAGAGGCAGAGUCAACAGUAUUUACUGUUUCAUUGGCUGAUGAAAGAGAGAAAGGGAGGCAUUGAGUUUGGGCACCUGGUACUAUGGUGAUGUCAUUUUCAGACAAAAAAGGGGGAGCUUUUUGGAGAAGAGGGCAGUGAAAGAAAUAAGUUCAUCCCUGGGCAACUGACACCUGAAGAACCUGAAGUACAUCUAGAUGGAAAACCAGGAGCACCCGGUAGCACAUUUCAGAGGAAGCUCUGAGGGCAGGAGGUGGACCAUUCUCCUGACUGCCAUCAGGAAGUGGACCACGGGAACACGGAUGUCACUUUCCCAAGGGACAGCUUGAACUAUGGAGAAGCUAUUAAUAAAAUUUCAAGAGGUCAGCCCAGCACAUAUUGAAUAAUGACUGCGGAAUGUUUUCCCUAUUGUUGUGCGGUUCCGGCCUGGCAGCCCUGGCCAGGGUGGCUCGGCCCAGCCUGCCCGGUGCGGUGUGGGGCCUUUAACCACGGGGCAAGCCAUUAACCGGGGCCGGUGAAGGAGCAGCACAUUGUUGUGUUAAACCACAACAGCAUCUGUGGAAUCCAAGAGCCAUAAAACCCUAGCUCUGAUGCUGCCUGACACAGGCAUAAUUCAUGAACUCUGUAAUUUAAAGGGAUUUCAAUGCAAUUGUAAAACUAAUAAAAAAUGAAAUGCUUUGGGGAAA
Molecule: non-coding RNA, 1345 nt
Organism: Vicugna pacos (alpaca)
Lineage: Eukaryota; Metazoa; Chordata; Mammalia; Artiodactyla; Camelidae
Source: RefSeq, a predicted model, not a curated record